Molecule: ribosomal RNA, 653 nt
Filed under: uncultured bacterium
Lineage: Bacteria
Description: bacterial SSU rRNA
Rfam family: Bacterial small subunit ribosomal RNA
Source: RNAcentral
AGAGUUUGAUCCUGGCUCAGGAUGAACGCUGGCGGUAUGCCUAACACAUGCAAGUCGUACGAGAGUUUUUAACUCUAGUGGCGGACGGGUGAGUAACACGUGAGAAUUUGCCUUUAGGAGGGGGAUAACAAUUGGAAACGAAUGCUAAUACCCCAUAUGCUUUUGAGUGAAAUGGAUUUAUAAUUAUCUGCCUAAAGAAAAGCUCGCGGCUGAUUAGCUUGUUGGUAAGGUAAGAGCUUACCAAGGCGACGAUCAGUAUCUGGUUUGAGAGGACGAUCAGACACACUGGAACUGAGACACGGUCCAGACUCCUACGGGAGGCAGCAGUGGGGAAUUUUCCGCAAUGGGCGAAAGCCUGACGGAGCAAUACCGCGUGAGGGAAGACUGCCUAUGGGUUGUAAACCUCUUUUUUCAGGGAGGAAUAAAAUGACGUGUACCUGAAGAAUAAGCAUCGGCUAACUCCGUGCCAGCAGCCGCGGUAAGACGGAGGAUGCAAGUGUUAUCCGGAAUCACUGGGCGUAAAGCGUCUGUAGGUGGUCUAAUAAGUCAACUGUUAAAUCUUGAGGCUCAACUUCAAAACCGCAGUCGAAACUAUUAGACUAGAGUAUAGUAGAGGUAAAGGGAAUUUCCAGUGUAGCGGUGAAAUGCGUAGA